GACGAACGCUGUCGGCGUGCUUAACACAUGCAAGUCGAACGGAAAGGCCCUGCUUUUGUGGGUUGCUCGAGUGGCGAACGGGUGAGUAACACGUGAGUAACCUGCCCUUGACUUUGGGAUAACUUCAGGAAACUGGGGCUAAUACCGGAUAGGAGCUCCUGCUGCAUGGUGGGGGUUGGAAAGUUUCGGCGGUUGGGGAUGGACUCGCGGCUUAUCAGCUUGUUGGUGGGGUAGUGGCUUACCAAGGCUUUGACGGGUAGCCGGCCUGAGGGGGUGACCGGCCACAUUGGGAAUGGGAUACGGCCCAGACUCCGACGGGAGGAAGCAGUGGGGAAUACAGCAUGAGGGGCGGAAGCCUAAUGCAGCAAUGCAGCGUGCGGGAUGAAGGCGUGCGGGUUGUAGGCCGCGUUCGCCGGUGAUGAAGAGUGAGUGACGGUAAUGGGUAAAGAAGCCAGGGCUAACUACGGG
This 468-nucleotide ribosomal RNA is filed under the name uncultured bacterium. Its description in RNAcentral is "partial 16S ribosomal RNA". It matches the Rfam family "Bacterial small subunit ribosomal RNA", at positions 28 to 507 of the family's 1533-position model. The record is from RNAcentral.